RNAcentral lists this microRNA precursor (128 nucleotides) under Procavia capensis (Cape rock hyrax). RNAcentral describes it as "miRNA (ENSPCAG00000019706.1)". The record is from RNAcentral. Lineage: Eukaryota; Metazoa; Chordata; Mammalia; Hyracoidea; Procaviidae.
AGAGUGACAGCAGAGAGAGAGCCUGCUUGCUGAAAGCUGUACCUGCCUCCCACCAUUGUAGCAAUAAACCUGCUAUCACUUCACCUGCUGUAUCUCCAUUGCUGAGUCUGCCUAAAUCACAAAUCUGC